GAGGAAUUUUGCGCAAUGGGGGAAACCCUGACGCAGCAACGCCACGUGAGUGAUGAAGGCUUUCGGGUCGUAAAGCUCUGUCAAGUGGGAAGAACCUGCCCAGUGCUAAUAUCACAGGGCACUGACGGUACCA
This 133-nucleotide ribosomal RNA is filed under the name uncultured bacterium. RNAcentral's name for it is "partial 16S ribosomal RNA". It matches the Rfam family "Bacterial small subunit ribosomal RNA", at positions 356 to 480 of the family's 1533-position model. The record is from RNAcentral.